This is a long non-coding RNA of Eurytemora carolleeae, 1433 nucleotides long. RefSeq lists it as uncharacterized. Lineage: Eukaryota; Metazoa; Arthropoda; Copepoda; Calanoida; Temoridae. The record is from RefSeq and is a predicted model, not a curated record. The transcript is spliced from 4 exons.
GUCUGGAAGUUUAGGGUAUGGAUUGGAUAAUCCCUAUCACUAUGGGCUGGAGGUUGAAAGCUGGAAAUCUGAUAAAAUGAGUAACCCUAGAUAUAAGCGAGGUAGUUCUAGUAGCAGUGGUGUAGGUAGUACAGGUGCAGGUGCUCCUGGCCCUUACCAGAGCGGGAUGUAUGACAGCUGGAAAACUGAAUGGAACCCAGCCUUCAAGGAUUAUAAUACAUCGCAUGAACCGGCGCCAAAAUCAUCAUAUAUGACUAAGGGAGGGAGACGACCGUCUUAUGACGACGACUUUUAAAUUACCUUGAUCUGGUGCUGUGACGUCAUAAAUCAGAGUUUAUCCUAGAACUAAUUAUUCAAAAUGGAUUCCCGGAAGUUCUAUACUCGUGAAACCUAUGUACAUAUAUACAUAUAAUGAACUGUGAAUGGAAAACUUGUUAAAAUUUCGUUCGACGUUUCAACCUUUCUUUGAUUGAAAUAUGUUUUAAUCUAAUGUUUAAUUUACUCAGUAUAAAUAUACAAGGGUUCCAACUAAGGGUUUGGGACGACUUUUCAUUACAAAUUAAAAACCCUGUUUUUUGUAUUCAUUCAAAUCUUAUACAGAACAAUGUUAAGGAGUUUUUCUAAUAUUAUGCAGUGAACAACGAUAGUAUGAAAGAACACGGUGAAGUCGUCUCUGAAGUUUCAUCCUUUGUGGGUAACCCUGUAUUCAUAAUACUAAAGAAUAACUAUGUCUGAGUUUAAUCAGGACUUCAGUAUACCAUACAGUGACAAUCAAUAAACAUCAAACUCGAUAUAAACAUUAGAUAUGUUGAUGACCUUAUGUUAUAUAUGUUUGUUGAAUAACCCUGUCAAAAUAUAAUAUGAGUGUUAGUAAUAUAUAAUAUAAACGCAUGUUAUAAAGGCAAACAAAUGAAAAGGGAUUAAAACAUGUAAUUACAAAAUUAAUCCUUUGUAAUGAACAAUUGACUGCACAUGGGAGGUCCAAAUUUUAAACUUUAAGGUUAAGAAGUUUCUUGUAUCUUGCCAUUUCUACAGGGUGUGUAUUUAUUUUCCUAGUUGUAAGUAGGUUAACCGCAACACACCCUGUAUUCAACUAAGCUUGCCACUGCCAAGGCUAGUCAUUAUUUACCGAUUGAUUGGGUUUUAACAUUUUUUCAGAAUUGUAAUUCAAAAACGUUUUUGCUUCUUGGUGUAAGAAGUUGCAGUGGUGUCCAUAAAACUGUGGACUAGGAAGACAAUAUCUUAGCAAUCUUAUGUCGAUAUGAAGCGAAUAUUAGCAACCAGAAAAUUUACUUGUGAAGUAAAAUGUACCUGUGUACACUGCACAAUAAGUUUAUAAUCAUUACUUCUGCCUAACACUAACAGUCGGAAUUUUCUAUUUCCCAGUUUUAUGAGUCUUACUGUACAAUCGUCUUAAAACUUGAAGAAUAAUU